UACAGAGGUGGCAAGCGUUGUUCGGAAUUACUGGGCGUAAAGGGCGCGUAGGCGGUCUUGUAAGUCUCGUGUGAAAUCCCUCGGCUUAACUGAGGAACUGCACGGGAUACUGCAUGACUUGAGAUCGGGAGAGGGAAGCGGAAUUCCGGGUGUAGCGGUGAAAUGCGCAGAUAUCAGGAGGAACACCAAUUGCGAAGGCAGCUCGCUGGGACGUUACUGACGCUGAGACGCGAAAGCGUGGGGAGCAAACAGG
This 253-nucleotide ribosomal RNA is filed under the name uncultured bacterium. Its description in RNAcentral is "partial 16S ribosomal RNA". It matches the Rfam family "Bacterial small subunit ribosomal RNA", at positions 524 to 776 of the family's 1533-position model. The record is from RNAcentral.